Molecule: ribosomal RNA, 483 nt
Filed under: uncultured bacterium
Lineage: Bacteria
Description: partial 16S ribosomal RNA
Rfam family: Bacterial small subunit ribosomal RNA
Source: RNAcentral
GACGAACGCUGGCGGCGUGCUUAACACAUGCAAGUCGAACGCUGAAGCUCAGCUUUUGUUGGGUGGAUGAGUGGCGAACGGGUGAGUAACACGUGAGUAACCUGCCUCCUUCUUUGGGAUAACGCCCGGAAACGGGUGCUAAUACUGGAUAUUCACUGGUCUUCGCAUGGGGGUUGGUGGAAAGGGUUUUUCUGGUGGGGGAUGGGCUCGGGGCCUAUCGGCUUGUUGGUGGGGUGAUGGCCUACCAAGGCUUUGACGGGUAGCCGGCCUGAGAGGGUGACCGGUAACAUUGGGACUGAGAUACGGCCCAGACUCCUACGGGAGGCAGCAGUGGGGAAUAUUGCACAAUGGGCGCAAGCCUGAUGCAGCGACGCCGCGUGAGGGAUGGAGGUCUUCGGGUUGUGAACCUCUUUCGCUCAUGGUCAAGCCGCAACAAUGGUUGUGGUGAGGGUAGUGGGUAAAGAAGCGCCGGCUAACUACGUG